AUGCUUGCUUUGACAGCACAUAUACUACAGUUGGAAAGAUACAGAGAAGAUUAACAUGGCCCCUGUGAAAGGAUAACAUGCAAAUUCAUGAAGCGUUCCAUAUUUUU
Molecule: small nuclear RNA, 107 nt
Filed under: Phascolarctos cinereus (koala)
Lineage: Eukaryota; Metazoa; Chordata; Mammalia; Diprotodontia; Phascolarctidae
Source: RNAcentral